GCUGGGCAUGGUGGCGUGCGCCUGUAAUCCCAGCUACUCAGGAGGCUGAGGCAGGAGAAUUGCUUGAACCCGGGAGGUGGAGGUUGCAGUGAGCCGAGAUUACGCCACUGCACUCCAGCCUGGGUGACAGAGCAAGACUCCGUCUCAA
This 148-nucleotide non-coding RNA is filed under the name Nomascus leucogenys (northern white-cheeked gibbon). Lineage: Eukaryota; Metazoa; Chordata; Mammalia; Primates; Hylobatidae. The record is from Rfam by way of RNAcentral.